UGUUAUGCCAGUCAUUUUGGUCCCUCUCACUUGGAAAUCCGCUUCCCAUUUAUGAAAGGGCUGGCGAUGGACUCGCUCUUCAUCUUCCCUCAAUGCACAGAGCCUGGGCAAACAAGGGAAAGGCAGAGAGAGUGUGCUAUUAAUGUCCUUUCAAGCCGAGGACUCCAGGAAAUGAAAUAAUAGAAAAGGCACCACUUUGAAAUGCAUCCAGGCAUUUAUUGUUAGGCACAGAUGACGCCUUUUGCCUGCGGUGGGCUGGGGAGCGGAGGUCUCAUUUUCUUGGCAGCCAGACAGACUGAAGCGGCAGCACCAUUGGAGGCAGACGCUUUCCAUUAAUCUUCAUGGAGAGGGUCAGCCUUCAGGAGAUGUCACCAGGAGGCUGCAGUGCCACCGCUGCUGGAGUGGGAGGUGCUCCCUGGGCGCUUGGUGGUCCCGUGGGCCAGAACUGAGCUCCAGCCCGCGCUCGGCAAGCCCCUCUGGCUGCAUUUCUCCAUGAAGUGAAAUGCCUGCUUUGGGAGGGUUGAGCACGGCGAGCUCUUGGCUGCAGGGUGCCGAGGGGCUGCACGGCAUCUUGGUGCUGGGGCUCAGCACCCGGGGCCCCGCUGCCAGAUGCCUGCCCCAGCGCUUGUGGGGUUGGACACCAUUCAUGGCAUUCCCCUGAAGGCGGCCGGGGGAGCCCAAGCCCCCUCCUUAGCUCUCCCCAGCCUCUCCGGCACCGUGCCAGCCUGGUGACCUCCCUACCACGUGAGCGUGGGGUCAUUGGGACUGAGAACAACCCAACUCGUAACACAGAUGCUGCCAAAUGACCUCCAGAUGGUAAUGUUUUUUGGAUUCAAACCAGCUCUGCAGAGGUGAAAGGCUGCGUGCUCCAUUACCAGCCCCCUGAGUCACCCAGUCCCCCUGAAAUAUGUCAUGCACACUUCAAACCUUUCCCAUUUUAUAGUCAGAUUUAACUGCUACACAUAACAGCUUAUAUCAACAACAUUCGGAAAAAAUGUCCUAUGAAGAACAGGCCUGAAACGGUAAAUAUUUAACAGGUCCUUUCUGUCCUUUCCUUAUAUGUAUUAAAAUAAUUAGUUUAACAAAGAGGACUUUGUUCCCCUGUGUUUGAGCCGCGACGGUGUCUGGCGCAACAGUGCAGCUGUAAUUCAGUCUCGAGGUUUUGCUGGCAUUUAUACAUGCUGCUUGGAGCUGCUCUCUCAGUUUAUAGUGUCAGCAGAACAUCUUGAUUGAAUUACAACCUUGUAUUCAGUUAGGAGCCAUGUAUUAUUCUAGAUGCAGUUGAGUUGUAGGUAUCUGUCUUUGCUUAU
Molecule: non-coding RNA, 1310 nt
Organism: Anas platyrhynchos (mallard)
Lineage: Eukaryota; Metazoa; Chordata; Aves; Anseriformes; Anatidae
Source: RefSeq, a predicted model, not a curated record